RNAcentral lists this unclassified non-coding RNA (343 nucleotides) under soil metagenome. Its description in RNAcentral is "partial contains 5.8S ribosomal RNA, internal transcribed spacer 2, and large subunit ribosomal RNA". The stretch from base 1 to 120 matches the Rfam family "5.8S ribosomal RNA", at positions 35 to 154 of the family's 154-position model. The record is from RNAcentral.
GAUGAAGAACGUAGCGAAAUGCGAUAAGUAAUGUGAAUUGCAGAACUCAGUGAAUCAUCGAAUCUUUGAACGCACAUUGCGCCCGCCAGCAUUCUGGCGGGCAUGCCUGUUCGAGCGUCAUUUCAACCCUCGAGCCCCCCCGGGGGCCUCGGUGUUGGGGGACGGCACACCAGCCGCCCCCGAAAUGCAGUGGCGACCCCGCCGCAGCCUCCCCUGCGUAGUAGCACACACCUCGCACCGGAGCGCGGAGGCGGUCACGCCGUAAAACGCCCAACUUUCUUAGAGUUGACCUCGGAUCAGGUAGGAAUACCCGCUGAACUUAAGCAUAUCAAUAAGCGGAGGA